ACCCAGACUCCUACGGGAGGCAGCAGUGGGGAAUAUUGCACAAUGGGGGAAACCCUGAUGCAGCGACGCCGCGUGAGCGAUGAAGUAUUUCGGUAUGUAAAGCUCUAUCAGCAGGGAAGAAGAUGACGGUACCUGACUAAGAAGCCCCGGCUAACUACGUGCCAGCAGCCGCGGUAAUACGUAGGGGGCAAGCGUUAUCCGGAUUUACUGGGUGUAAAGGGAGCGUAGACGGCGAUGCAAGCCAGAUGUGAAAGCCCGGGGCUCAACCCCGGGACUGCAUUUGGAACUGUGUGGCUGGAGUGUCGGAGAGGCAGGCGGAAUUCCUAGUGUAGCGGUGAAAUGCGUAGAUAUUAGGAGGAACACCAGUGGCGAAGGCGGCCUGCUGGACGAUGACUGACGCUGAGGCUCGAAAGCGUGGGGAGCAAACAGGAUUAGAUACCCGCGUAUA
RNAcentral lists this ribosomal RNA (448 nucleotides) under uncultured bacterium. RNAcentral's name for it is "bacterial SSU rRNA". It matches the Rfam family "Bacterial small subunit ribosomal RNA", at positions 329 to 794 of the family's 1533-position model. The record is from RNAcentral.